RNAcentral lists this ribosomal RNA (197 nucleotides) under uncultured bacterium. RNAcentral describes it as "partial 16S ribosomal RNA". It matches the Rfam family "Bacterial small subunit ribosomal RNA", at positions 328 to 539 of the family's 1533-position model. The record is from RNAcentral.
ACGCUCGACACCUACGGGGGCAGCAGUGGGGAAUAUUGCACAAUGGGGGAAGCCCUGAUGCAGCGACGCCGCGUGAAGGAAGAAGUAUCUCGGUAUGUAAACUUCUAUCAGCAGGGAAGAAAGUGACGGUACCUGACUAAGAAGCCCCGGCUAACUACGUGUCAGCAGCCGCGGUAAUCUGAGCGGGCUGGCAAGGC